RNAcentral lists this unclassified non-coding RNA (240 nucleotides) under soil metagenome. RNAcentral describes it as "partial contains 5.8S ribosomal RNA, internal transcribed spacer 2, and large subunit ribosomal RNA". The record is from RNAcentral.
AACCAUUCUCACCUGCGGCUAGACCUGCGGAGGGAUCAUUACCGAGUUAGGGUCUCGUCCGCGGACGGCCCGACCUCCCAACCCUUUGUCUACCAUACCCGUUUGUUGCUUCGGCGCGGCCGCGAGGACGCAAGUCCCUCCGCCCGGUUUCACCGCCGGGAGAGCGCCCGCCGAUGGCCCCAACCAAACAAAACUCUUGAUACCAAAAAAUUGUCGUCUGAAAACUUUUAUGAUUAUUAC